RNAcentral lists this ribosomal RNA (466 nucleotides) under uncultured bacterium. RNAcentral describes it as "partial 16S ribosomal RNA". It matches the Rfam family "Bacterial small subunit ribosomal RNA", at positions 28 to 507 of the family's 1533-position model. The record is from RNAcentral.
GAUGAACGCUGGCGGCGUGCUUAACACAUGCAAGUCGAACGAUGAAGCCCAGCUUGCUGGGUGGGUUAGUGGCGAACGGGUGAGUAACACGUGAGUAACCUGCCCUUAACUCUGGGAUAAGCCUGGGAAACUGGGGCUAAUACCGGAUAGGAGCGUCCACCGCAUGGUGGGUGGUGGAAAGAUUUAUCGGUUUUGGAUGGACUCGCGGCCUAUCAGCUUGUUGGUGAGGUAAUGGCUCACCAAGGCGACGACGGGUAGCCGGCCUGAGAGGGUGACCGGCCACACUGGGACUGAGACACGGCCCAGACUCCUACGGGAGGCAGCAGUGGGGAAUAUUGCACAAUGGGCGCAAGCCUGAUGCAGCGACGCCGCGUGCGGGAUGACGGCCUUCGGGUUGUAAACCUCUUUCAGUAGGGAAGAAGCGAAAGUGACGGUACCUGCAGAAGAAGCACCGGCUAACUACGUG